GUAGCCAAAUGCCUCGUCAUCUAAUUAGUGACGCGCAUGAAUGGAUUAACGAGAUUCCCACUGUCCCUACCUACUAUCUAGCGAAACUACAGCCAAGGGAACGGGCUUGGGCCUUGACCAGCGGGGAAAGAAGACCCUGUUGAGCUUGACUUUAGUCUGCCGUUGUUAAGAGACAUGAGAGGUGUAGGAUAGGCGGGAGGCGUCCGAUUGGGGCCGAGAGGUUCCGCGGGCGCCGCCGGUGAAAUACCGCCACUCUCACUGUUUCUUUACUUACACGGUAGAGCGGAGAACGGGCCUCACGGCUCGGUCUUUGUGGCGUUAACGCGGUCGCCCCUGCGCGACCGCGGAUUCGCUCCGUGGACAGCGGCAGGUCGGCAGUUCGACUGGGGCGGUACAACUGUCAAACGGUAACACAGUUGUCCUAUGGUCGGCUCAGCGAGGACAGAAACCUCGCGUGGAGCAAAAGGGCUAAUGCCGGCUUGAUCUUGAUUUUCAGUACGAAUACAGACCGCGAAAGCGGGGCCCCUCGAUCCUUUUGCUUUUACGAGUUUUAAGCAAGAGGUGUCAGAAUAGUUACCACAGGGAUAAUUGGCUUGUGGUCGCCAAGCGUUCAUAGCGACGUGACUUUUUGAUCCUUCGAUGUCGGCUCUUCCUAUCAUUGUG
This 663-nucleotide ribosomal RNA is filed under the name Euzercon latum. RNAcentral describes it as "eukaryotic LSU rRNA". It matches the Rfam family "Eukaryotic large subunit ribosomal RNA", at positions 2279 to 2904 of the family's 3401-position model. The record is from RNAcentral. Lineage: Eukaryota; Metazoa; Arthropoda; Arachnida; Mesostigmata; Euzerconidae.